Molecule: ribosomal RNA, 431 nt
Filed under: uncultured bacterium
Lineage: Bacteria
Description: partial 16S ribosomal RNA
Rfam family: Bacterial small subunit ribosomal RNA
Source: RNAcentral
AACGAACGCUGGCGGCAUGCCUAACACAUGCAAGUCGAACGAGACCUUCGGGUCUAGUGGCGCACGGGUGCGUAACGCGUGGGAACCUGCCCUUAGGUUCGGAAUAACUCCCCGAAAGGGGUGCUAAUACCGGAUAAUGUCUUCGGACCAAAGAUUUAUCGCCUUUUGAUGGGCCCGCGUUGGAUUAGCUAGUUGGUAGGGUAAAAGCCUACCAAGGCGACGAUCCAUAGCUGGUCUGAGAGGAUGAUCAGCCACACUGGGACUGAGACACGGCCCAGACUCCUACGGGAGGCAGCAGUGGGGAAUAUUGGACAAUGGGCGAAAGCCUGAUCCAGCAAUGCGGGGUGAGGGAUGAAGGCCUUAGGGUUGUAAAGCUCUUUUACCCAGGAUGAUAAUGACAGGACCGGGAGAAUAAGCGCCGGCUAACUCCG